AUAGCCAUGCAUGUCUCAGUACAUGCCGAAUUAAGGUGAAACCGCGAAUGGCUCAUUAAAUCAGUUAUGGUUCAUUAGAUCGUGGACACAUUUACUUGGAUAACUGUGGUAAUUCUAGAGCUAAUACAUGCAAACAGAAUUCCUCUCAGAGAUGGGAGGAAUGCUUUUAUUAGAUCAAAACCAAUCGGUGGCGGACGGCUCGUCCGUUCGUCCAUCGUUUGUUUUGGUGACUCUGAAUAACUUUGUGCUGAUCGCAUGGUCAUCUAGCACCGGCGACGCAUCUUUCAAAUGUCUGCCUUAUCAACUGUCGAUGGUAGGUUCUGCGCCUACCAUGGUUGUAACGGGUAACGGGGAAUCAGGGUUCGAUUCCGGAGAGGGAGCCUGAGAAACAGCUACCACAUCCAAGGAAGGCAGCAGGCGCGCAAAUUACCCACUCCCGGCACGGGGAGGUAGUGACGAAAAAUAACGAUACGGGACUCAUCCGAGGCCCCGUAAUCGGAAUGAGUACACUUUAAAUCCUUUAACGAGGACCAAUUGGAGGGCAAGUCUGGUGCCAGCAGCCGCGGUAAUUCCAGCUCCAAUAGCGUAUAUUAAAGUUGUUGCGGUUAAAAAGCUCGUAGUUGAAUCUGUGUGUCACAGUGUCGGUUCACCGCUCGCGGUGUUUAACUGGCAUUAUGUGGUACGUCCUAUCGGUGGGCUUAGCUCCUUGCGGGCGGUCCAACUAAUAUCCCAUCGCGGUGCUCUUCACUGAGUGUCGAGGUGGGCCGAUACGUUUACUUUGAAAAAAUUAGAGUGCUUAAAGCAGGCUACCUUUGCCUGAAUACUGUGUGCAUGGAAUAAUGGAAUAGGACCUCGGUUCUAUUUUGUUGGUUUUCGGAACCCCGAGGUAAUGAUUAAUAGGGACAGAUGGGGGCAUUCGUAUUGCGACGUUAGAGGUGAAAUUCUUGGAUCGUCGCAAGACGGACAGAAGCGAAAGCAUUUGCCAAAAAUGUUUUCAUUAAUCAAGAACGAAAGUUAGAGGUU
Molecule: ribosomal RNA, 1023 nt
Filed under: Apis mellifera (honey bee)
Lineage: Eukaryota; Metazoa; Arthropoda; Insecta; Hymenoptera; Apidae
Description: SSU rRNA
Rfam family: Eukaryotic small subunit ribosomal RNA
Source: RNAcentral